Acanthopagrus latus (yellowfin seabream) is the source of this 819-nucleotide long non-coding RNA. RefSeq lists it as uncharacterized. The record is from RefSeq and is a predicted model, not a curated record. The transcript has 3 exons. NCBI's taxonomy places the organism in Eukaryota, Metazoa, Chordata, Actinopteri, Spariformes, Sparidae.
AUUUUCUGCAGCCCGUAAGAGUUCCUCCGUGCGCCCAACCCAUGCGCCCUCAGCACGGACGGGACCCGGGACAAGCAGUCGUCGUUCAUAUCCAAAGAGAGGCCAGGGAAACCGCGUCCUGGUAUCUCAACCUAUGGACAGGAGCCAGAUGUAGGCCAUCUGGUGAGCUCAUGGACUGUGCGUAAAAGAAGAGCAGCAGCGGAACAAGAUGUCUCGUAUUCUACAAAAUCUCCAGUUUCACUGAAUUUCACUACAGCUCUCUCGUUCAAGUCUGUCGUCAUCUGAUCGACCUGAAUGAAAGAGAUAAGCGGCCCACGGGGGGUUAAUGUCGUGGGUCUGACCUCAAGAGGGAGCCAAACCGCAGAGGCUUCAAGAAACAGCACACCUUUAUCAGCCAAGGCCACACUGGGCCCCACCUGUCCCACAUGUGCACACUCUGGGUGUUAUCACAACACAACACACUGGAUUCCCUGGAGUUGUAGCACAUGAUGCGAGCGGCGCAUCCAGUACAGCUGCAGGCAGAAAGUGGAGCACAACAUCUCCAUCACCAUCGUGCCACUCUGCACGUCUGCACACUGCAGGGGCGCUGAUAAUGGAUAUGAAAAAAAGAGGUUGGAUAUACACAGAAAGAGAGAGGAUAACAGGAGUGUCACAGUAGCUACUGCACAAUAAGAGGAUGACAGCGAUCUGUACAUGAAGUCCACUAUUUUUAUUACGCUCAGCCGAGUCGAGCCAGGAUUGGCGGUCCGAGUCCUCUGUGGUGAUCCUCUUCUGGAAGCAUUUGUUCUCAAAGUAAAAAUAAAAGUCCCCCUGGUGUUG